CCGUGAAUGAAGUCUCCUUGAGUGUCGAUGGUCUUGUGUGUCGUUAGCUUUAUAUUUUCUAUGGAUUUUGUUGAAACGAUUGGAACCGUCAAUUGGGCUUGUCUGGCAUUCUUCUUAAUCAGAACUAUAUCGCAUGGUUUAGCUUCAAGACUCACUUUCCCAAAACUUCUGAUAUCGGACAUGAUAUUCUGGAUAGAGGUGUUAGUCUUAUAUGAAAGAGUAUGAUGUUCCUUGCCUUCUACAUUAUCCUGCAAAAAAGAUUCUUUGUUAUAUACUUCCUCUUCUAUUUGCUUCAUUAUGAGAAACAUUUGAAGAUCUGUUGCGUGUUUCUUGAUGUUUAAAAGGUUAUUUUGGCAUUCUCCUAUUUCCUUUUCUCUCUUUUCUAGGGACGACAAUAACUUACAAUUUUUAGAGCUUUCUUUUUCUUCUAGCUCAUUGAGUUGUUUCAUUAAAUCAUCUUGUAGUUUGUCGAGAUGGCUGUUGAUCUUCAUUCUGGUCUUCUUUAUUUCUUUUUUCGAUUUCUUUUCUCUUUUCUUUCAAAUUCAAAAGAUUGUCUUGUUGAUGCUGACAAAUUUUCUUUAGAUUUUCUGCUAUUUCAACUACCGUUUCCUCUAUCUCACACAGAGCAUUGGAGGUUUUGACGCUAUGAAUGACGUCAUCUUAUUCG
This 667-nucleotide long non-coding RNA is filed under the name Mytilus galloprovincialis (Mediterranean mussel). The record is from RNAcentral. Lineage: Eukaryota; Metazoa; Mollusca; Bivalvia; Mytilida; Mytilidae.